UCCGUUCGUAUAAAAACUGAUUUGUGUAUGUUGGUUGAGAGUGCACGCUUAAUUUUCAUGCAUGAAUUUGACGCUAGAAUAUAAGGGAGUUUCACCUAAUCGUUAUGAACUUAUAUUCACAAGUAAUGAAGGUUGCUAGUCACAAUCACGUUAAGUAAAUUCUUGGCAUAAGUUUCAUGCAAAUCAUAGUAACGAGUGCCUCGUCAAUGCUUAUGUUUUUCAUAGAACUUAAUGAUUCUUGCUUGUAUCUCUAUUAUGCAAUUCAUGUAGGGAACUUGUAGGGAAUGCUUUGGGUUGUCGUAUGCAAUCAUCCAACCUAAUAACUUGUGGAAAAACUGAGGGUUAAUUAGUGCAAUUCACGGUUAAUUUGGGGCGUUGAGUAUUCAUAGUUUAUCGAAAAGCAACUAGAAAUCGUUUUGUAUGCAAGUGUGACAUGUGUGGAGAAGAACCUCCUAGCUAGCCUUCCAUCCAUAAGUUUCAUUCAAAUUCAUUUACAAUAUGUUUUGUUUUACAAAGUUUGUUUUGUUUUCAAAUU
RNAcentral lists this long non-coding RNA (535 nucleotides) under Malus domestica (apple). RNAcentral describes it as "long non-coding RNA (MDOM_LNC008591)". The record is from RNAcentral. Lineage: Eukaryota; Viridiplantae; Streptophyta; Magnoliopsida; Rosales; Rosaceae.